Molecule: ribosomal RNA, 1499 nt
Filed under: metagenome
Description: bacterial SSU rRNA
Rfam family: Bacterial small subunit ribosomal RNA
Source: RNAcentral
GAGUUUGAUCAUGGCUCAGAUUGAACGCUGGCGGCAGGCCUAACACAUGCAAGUCGAACGGUAACAGGAAGCAGCUUGCUGCUUCGCUGACGAGUGGCGGACGGGUGAGUAAUGUCUGGGAAGCUGCCUGAUGGAGGGGGAUAACUACUGGAAACGGUAGCUAAUACCGCAUAAUGUCGCAAGACCAAAGAGGGGGACCUUCGGGCCUCUUGCCAUCGGAUGUGCCCAGAUGGGAUUAGCUUGUUGGUGGGGUAACGGCUCACCAAGGCGACGAUCCCUAGCUGGUCUGAGAGGAUGACCAGCCACACUGGAACUGAGACACGGUCCAGACUCCUACGGGAGGCAGCAGUGGGGAAUAUUGCACAAUGGGCGCAAGCCUGAUGCAGCCAUGCCGCGUGUAUGAAGAAGGCCUUCGGGUUGUAAAGUACUUUCAGCGGGGAGGAAGGGAGUAAAGUUAAUACCUUUGCUCAUUGACGUUACCCGCAGAAGAAGCACCGGCUAACUCCGUGCCAGCAGCCGCGGUAAUACGGAGGGUGCAAGCGUUAAUCGGAAUCACUGGGCGUAAAGCGCACGCAGGCGGUUUGUUAAGUCAGAUGUGAAAUCCCCGGGCUCAACCUGGGAACUGCAUCUGAUACUGGCAAGCUUGAGUCUCGUAGAGGGGGGUAGAAUUCCAGGUGUAGCGGUGAAAUGCGUAGAGAUCUGGAGGAAUACCGGUGGCGAAGGCGGCCCCCUGGACGAAGACUGACGCACAGGUGCGAAAGCGUGGGGAGCAAACAGGAUUAGAUACCCUGGUAGUCCACGCCGUAAACGAUGUCGACUUGGAGGUUGUGCCCUUGAGGCGUGGCUUCCGGAGCUAACGCGUUAAGUCGACCGCCUGGGGAGUACGGCCGCAAGGUUAAAACUCAAAUGAAUUGACGGGGGCCCGCACAAGCGGUGGAGCAUGUGGUUUAAUUCGAUGCAACGCGAAGAACCUUACCUGGUCUUGACAUCCACGGAAGUUUUCAGAGAUGAGAAUGUGCCUUCGGGAACCGUGAGACAGGUGCUGCAUGGCUGUCGUCAGCUCGUGUUGUGAAAUGUUGGGUUAAGUCCCGCAACGAGCGCAACCCUUAUCCUUUGUUGCCAGCGGUCCGGCCGGGAACUCAAAGGAGACUGCCAGUGAUAAACUGGAGGAAGGUGGGGAUGACGUCAAGUCAUCAUGGCCCUUACGACCAGGGCUACACACGUGCUACAAUGGCGCAUACAAAGAGAAGCGACCUCGCGAGAGCAAGCGGACCUCAUAAAGUGCGUCGUAGUCCGGAUUGGAGUCUGCAACUCGACUCCAUGAAGUCGGAAUCGCUAGUAAUCGUGGAUCAGAAUGCCACGGUGAAUACGUUCCCGGGCCUUGUACACACCGCCCGUCACACCAUGGGAGUGGGUUGCAAAAGAAGUAGGUAGCUUAACCUUCGGGAGGGCGCUUACCACUUUGUGAUUCAUGACUGGGGUGAAGUCGUAACAAGGUA